AGUCUAACAUGUAUGCGAGUUGGCGGGUUGAAAACCCGUAAGCGCAAGUAACCUGACUGGUGGGAUGGCCUGUGCCUGCACCAGGUGCUUUCCACGAGUCGGGUUGUUUGGGAAUGCAGCCCUAAUUUGGAGGUAAAUCCCUUCUAAGACUAAAUACUGCUGAGAGACCGAUAGCGAACAAGUACCGUGAGG
This 192-nucleotide non-coding RNA is filed under the name Volvox carteri f. nagariensis. Its description in RNAcentral is "Eukaryotic large subunit ribosomal RNA". It matches the Rfam family "Eukaryotic large subunit ribosomal RNA", at positions 184 to 358 of the family's 3401-position model. Lineage: Eukaryota; Viridiplantae; Chlorophyta; Chlorophyceae; Chlamydomonadales; Volvocaceae. The record is from Rfam by way of RNAcentral.